Molecule: ribosomal RNA, 504 nt
Filed under: uncultured bacterium
Lineage: Bacteria
Description: partial 16S ribosomal RNA
Rfam family: Bacterial small subunit ribosomal RNA
Source: RNAcentral
AUUGAACGCUGGCGGCACGCCUAACACAUGCAAGUCGAGCGGCAGCAUGCUUAGUAGCAAUACUAAGUGAUGGCGAGCGGCGGACGGGUGAGGAACACGUAGGAACCUGCCCAAGAGAGGGGGAUAACUAAGGGAAACUUUAGCUAAUACCGCAUAAUCUCUGAGGAGAAAAGCUGCCCGCAAGGGUAGCGCUUUUGGAGGGGCCUGCGUCCGAUUAGCUAGUUGGUGAGGUAAUGGCUCACCAAGGCGAUGAUCGGUAACUGGUCUGAGAGGACGAGCAGUCACACUGGGACGGAGACACGGCCCAGACUCCUACGGGAGGCAGCAGUGGGGAAUCUUGGACAAUGGGGGCAACCCUGAUCCAGCGAUGCCGCGUGGGUGAAGAAGGCCUUCGGGUUGUAAAGCCCUUUAGGCUGGGAAGAAGUGUGCGGGGUGAAUAAUCCUGUACAUUGACGGUACCAGCAGAAUAAGCACCGGCAAACUCUGUGCCAGCCGCCGCAGUAA